Molecule: ribosomal RNA, 236 nt
Filed under: uncultured bacterium
Lineage: Bacteria
Description: partial 16S ribosomal RNA
Rfam family: Bacterial small subunit ribosomal RNA
Source: RNAcentral
CGGCACGGGUGAGUAACACGUAUCCAACCUGCCGUCUACUCUUGGACAGCCUUCUGAAAGAAAGAUUAAUACAAGAUGGCAUCAUGAGUCCGCAUGUUCACAUGAUUAAAGGUAUUCCGGUAGACGAUGGGGAUGCGUUCCAUUAGAUAGUAGGCGGGGUAACGGCCCACCUAGUCUUCGAUGGAUAGGGGUUCUGAGAGGAAGGUCCCCCACAUUGGAACUGAGACACGGUCCAA